Molecule: signal recognition particle RNA, 234 nt
Filed under: Chlorocebus sabaeus (green monkey)
Lineage: Eukaryota; Metazoa; Chordata; Mammalia; Primates; Cercopithecidae
Description: Metazoan signal recognition particle RNA
Rfam family: Metazoan signal recognition particle RNA
About the family: The signal recognition particle (SRP) is a universally conserved ribonucleoprotein.
Source: Rfam by way of RNAcentral
ACCAGGCAUGGUGACGCGUGCCUGUAAUCCCAGCUACUAGGCGGGGCUGAGGCAGGAGGAUCACUUGAACCUGGGAGGUGGAGGUUGCAGUGAGUUGAGAUUGUGCCACUGCACUCCAGCCUGGGUGACAGAGUANNNNNNNNNNUACUCUGUCACCCAGGCUGGAGUGCAGUGGCACAAUCUCAACUCACUGCAACCUCCACCUCCCAGGUUCAAGUGAUCCUCCUGCCUCAG